UGCCGAAUGGUCCAAAGGCUAGGAUCUCAGAAUUUGGCUCUGAGGAUACAGGUUCGAAUCCUGUUUCGGCAU
This 72-nucleotide transfer RNA is filed under the name Cytophagales bacterium. RNAcentral describes it as "tRNA-Gln". It matches the Rfam family "tRNA". From Rfam's summary of the family: Transfer RNA (tRNA) molecules are approximately 80 nucleotides in length. Their secondary structure includes four short double-helical elements and three loops (D, anti-codon, and T loops). The record is from RNAcentral. Lineage: Bacteria; Pseudomonadati; Bacteroidota; Cytophagia; Cytophagales.